This 253-nucleotide ribosomal RNA is filed under the name uncultured prokaryote. RNAcentral describes it as "partial 16S ribosomal RNA". It matches the Rfam family "Bacterial small subunit ribosomal RNA", at positions 524 to 776 of the family's 1533-position model. The record is from RNAcentral.
AACGGGGGGGGCAAGCGUUAUUCGUCGUGACUGGGCGUAAAGGGUUUGUAGACGGUUUGCAGAUUUUUUUGGAGACAUUUCGUAAUUUAUUACAUUUUUUCAAUUAAUUAUGCAAUUCUAGAGUAUAGUGUAGAAUUUUGGUACUCUCGAUGGAGGGGUGAAAUCCGUAGAUAUCGAUGGGGACUACCAAUGGCGAAGGCAGAAAUUUAUACUAUACUGACGUUGAGGAACGAAAGCAUGGGUAUCAAACGGG